Molecule: long non-coding RNA, 744 nt
Organism: Neopsephotus bourkii (Bourke's parrot)
Lineage: Eukaryota; Metazoa; Chordata; Aves; Psittaciformes; Psittacidae
Exons: 3
Source: RefSeq, a predicted model, not a curated record
UUCUCAUUAGUUCUCAGUGUUCCAGCAUAUUUAGGAAGUUUGAAAGCCUGAGUAUUUGAAGUGUUUUGACCAUGUCCCCAGUGAAAAAGAACAAGAGUAGAGAAAUGGCAGAAACGCUGUGUUUUUCCCAAUCUGUUCUAUUGAUGUGUUUUGUUUUUCUUUAGCUUGUUUUCUUCUAAAGGUCAGUGAAAUUUUCAGUUGCAUAAAUUUCAUUGACUUUCCUCAUUGCAGACAGGCUUUUGAGGGAGAUGCUGAGCUUACGUGCACUGCCUGUGCCAAACAGAAGAAAGCCUCCUCCCGUAAUCCCUCACCCAGUGUUUGUGCCAGGACUUUCAUCGCAAUAGCCCUGCUUUGAUGGCAACCAUUGAAGGAGAUAAAAAUGACAGCUUUGGAGCAGUAUCUUCAUGGAGCAUGAUGACUCUUGACAGCAGGAGACACAUUCACCUCCUGAAGGCUACGGAGCACCUGUGCCUGAACAGCAGACAAGGACCCAGUGGUUUCAGAUGGACACUCUGUUCUCCACUACCUCCUGCUCUCCUCUGGACUUCAGUGCUCAGGAAAGUCACUGCACUCCUGUGAUCUCUACCCAAGAAGGGCUGAAUCACUGAUUCAUAGUAAGUUGCACAAAACUCAUUUUAUAAUGACAGGGUUUCUUUGAGGCAAGCUCUACUAUCUUUGUAUGUGUAAGAUACUGCUGCUCUUUCCUGCUUCUUGCCAAAUCCAACAUCUUUUAUUUGCUUGCCA